UGGGGAAUUUUGGACAAUGGGGGAAACCCUGAUCCAGCCAUCCCGCGUGUGCGAUGAAGGCCUUCGGGUUGUAAAGCACUUUUGGCAGGAAAGAAACGUCAUGGGUUAAUACCCCGUGAAACUGACGGUACCUGCAGAAUAAGCACCGGCUAACUACGUGCCAGCAGCCGCGGUAAUACGUAGGGUGCAAGCGUUAAUCGGAAUUACUGGGCGUAAAGCGUGCGCAGGCGGUUCGGAAAGAAAGAUGUGAAAUCCCAGAGCUCAACUUUGGAACUGCAUUUUUAACUACCGGGCUAGAGUGUGUCAGAGGAAGGUGGAAUUCCGCGUGUGGCAGUGAAAUGCGUAGAUAUGCGGAGGAACACCGAUGGCGAAGGCAGCCUCCUGGGAUAACACUGACGCUCAUGCACGAAAGCGUGGGGAGCAAACAGG
RNAcentral lists this ribosomal RNA (429 nucleotides) under Acidobacteriota bacterium. RNAcentral describes it as "Acidobacteria bacterium partial 16S ribosomal RNA". It matches the Rfam family "Bacterial small subunit ribosomal RNA", at positions 355 to 776 of the family's 1533-position model. Lineage: Bacteria; Pseudomonadati; Acidobacteriota. The record is from RNAcentral.